Non-coding RNA from Mycena olivaceomarginata, 88 nucleotides. The record is from the annotation of a GenBank genome assembly. Lineage: Eukaryota; Fungi; Basidiomycota; Agaricomycetes; Agaricales; Mycenaceae.
GGCUCGGUAGCGGAGGGUCCGCAUCUGUGCUUCAUAACGAGUAACAAUAGUUAUGCAGACAUUGCCUGUUCGACUCAGGCCCGAGCCA